GAGUUUGAUCCUGGCUCAGGAUGAACGCUGGCGGCGUGCCUAAUACAUGCAAGUCGAGCGAACAGAUAAGGAGCUUGCUCCUUUGACGUUAGCGGCGGACGGGUGAGUAACACGUGGGUAACCUACCUAUAAGACUGGAAUAACUCCGGGAAACCGGGGCUAAUGCCGGAUAAUAUUUAGAACCGCAUGGUUCUAAAGUGAAAGAUGGUUUUGCUAUCACUUAUAGAUGGACCCGCGCCGUAUUAGCUAGUUGGUGGGGUAAUGGCUUACCAAGGCAACGAUACGUAGCCGACCUGAGAGGGUGAUCGGCCACACUGGAACUGAGACACGGUCCAGACUCCUACGGGAGGCAGCAGUAGGGAAUCUUCCGCAAUGGGCGAAAGCCUGACGGAGCAACGCCGCGUGAGUGAUGAAGGUCUUCGGAUCGUAAAACUCUGUUAUUAGGGAAGAACAAAUGUGUAAGUAACUGUGCACGUCUUGACGGUACCUAAUCAGAAAGCCACGGCUAACU
Molecule: ribosomal RNA, 511 nt
Filed under: uncultured bacterium
Lineage: Bacteria
Description: bacterial SSU rRNA
Rfam family: Bacterial small subunit ribosomal RNA
Source: RNAcentral